RNAcentral lists this ribosomal RNA (462 nucleotides) under uncultured bacterium. Its description in RNAcentral is "bacterial SSU rRNA". It matches the Rfam family "Bacterial small subunit ribosomal RNA", at positions 28 to 507 of the family's 1533-position model. The record is from RNAcentral.
AAUGAACGUUGGCGGCGUGGAUUAGGCAUGCAAGUCGUGCGGAAAGGCUCCUUCGGGAGUACUCGAGCGGCGAAAGGGAGAGUGACACGUGGGUACCUGCCCCCAGGACCGGAAUAGCAGCGGGAAACUGCUGGUAAUGCCGGAUAAUAUCUCAGGAUCAAAGGUUUCGGCCGCCUGAGGAUGGGCCCGCGUCCUAUUAGCUUGUUGGUGGGGUAAUGGCCUACCAAGGCUGCGAUGGGUACCGGGCGUGAGAGCGUGGCCCGGCUCACUGGGACUGAGACACUGCCCAGACACCUACGGGUGGCUGCAGUCGAGAAUCUUCGGCAAUGGGCGCAAGCCUGACCGAGCGACGCCGCGUGCGGGAUGAAGGCCUUCGGGUUGUAAACCGCUGUCAGAGGGGAGGAAAUGCUUGGUAACCCCAAGUUUGACCUAUCCUCAGAGGAAGUCCGGGCUAAGUUCGUG